AUGUGCAGACGAGGUGGUGUGCGAAGACGCAGAUCUCGAGCUUGGCGAGGCUCAUCCCCGGGCACAUCCGCGGCCCGCUGCCGAACCCCAGGAAGCUGUACGGCUUCAGCGACCCCUGCAUACGUGCAUUGCACAAAGUCAGUCGAGUCGUUAGCUAGCUCGGCUGCUCGCCGGAGACGAGGAAGAAAGGAAGCUAGGCUAGGCACGCACGUCGAAUCUGUCCGGGUCGAAGCGCUCGGGGUCGGCGAAGACGGCGGCGUCGUGGUGGAUGGACACCACGUCCAGGUUCACCGACGCGCCCUUGGCCACCUGGAAGCCGUCGAUGUUGAAGUCCUGCGCGGCCUUGCGCGAGUACCACGGCAGGAUGGUGGCCCGCCGCAGCGUCUCGUUCAUCACCUUGGUCGUGUACGGCAUGCUGCUCAGGUCCGACCACCACAGGUGCUGCGUGUCGUCGCCGUCGUGCGCCGCCCGGAUCCCCAUGUGCUCCUCCCUGAGCCUGGCGAGCACGUCCGGGUUCUCGCCGAGGAACUUGACGAGCCAGGUCAGGCCCGCCGUGGUGGUGUCGUGGCCGGCCACCAGCAGCGUCAGGAUGUUGUCCUUGAGCUGCGCGUCCGUCAGCUUCUCCUCCUCCGCCGGGUCCGACGAUCCUUGCUGGCCGCGGGCGUGCUUCAUGAGGAGCGUCUGGAGGAAGUCCUCGCGGACCUCGCCGGCCCUGCGGCGCGCGAUCACCGCGUCCAGCAUGGCGUACAUCCGGUUCCGGCCGCCGAGGCCGCGGUGGAAGGCCGUGCCGGGGAGCUUGAGCGGCAGCGACGCGAAGGAGGAGGAGAUGGCCUUGAAGUUGGCCCGGAACUCCUCCUGCUCCGGCCCCUCCGGCUCCAGGCUGACGAGCAUGUUGGCGAUGACCUUGAGCGUGAACUGGGAGGCCUCGUCGAGGACGAGCACGCGGCCGCGGCCGGCCCAGGAGCCGAGGAUCUGCACGGCGAGGCCGUCGAUGAAGGCGAAAUGCUUCCGUAA
This 1014-nucleotide ribosomal RNA is filed under the name Triticum aestivum (bread wheat). RNAcentral describes it as "partial small subunit ribosomal RNA". The record is from RNAcentral. Lineage: Eukaryota; Viridiplantae; Streptophyta; Magnoliopsida; Poales; Poaceae.